Molecule: ribosomal RNA, 501 nt
Filed under: uncultured soil bacterium
Lineage: Bacteria
Description: bacterial SSU rRNA
Rfam family: Bacterial small subunit ribosomal RNA
Source: RNAcentral
AGAUUGAACGCUAGCGGGAUGCUUUACACAUGCAAGUCGAACGGCAGCGCGGACUUCGGUCUGGCGGCGAGUGGCGAACGGGUGAGUAAUAUAUCGGAACGUGCCCAGUAGCGGGGGAUAACUACGCGAAAGCGUGGCUAAUACCGCAUACGCCCUACGGGGGAAAGGGGGGAUCGCAAGACCUCUCACUAUUGGAGCGGCCGAUAUCAGAUUAGCUAGUUGGUGAGGUAAAGGCUCACCAAGGCGACGAUCUGUAGCUGGUUUGAGAGGACGACCAGCCACACUGGGACUGAGACACGGCCCAGACUCCUACGGGAGGCAGCAGUGGGGAAUUUGGACAAUGGGGGAAACCCUGAUCCAGCCAUCCCGCGUGUGCGAUGAAGGCCCGUUCGGGUUGUAAAGGCACGUUUUGGACGAGGAAGGAAACGGACGUGCCCGUAAGUACGGUACGUCACGUGACCGUACCGUAGCGAGAAGUAAGCCGACCGGCUAACUACGUCG